CACAACCGGGCCCGCCUCGACAUUCUGACACCAGCUGGCAGCAGCCAAGCUCUGCCCUCAGGAGCACUCACCCAGCAGUCCAAGCCAUUAGCGGCCACGAGAGCCACAUGCUUCGGACAGGCGGGCCACAGCGGGGCCUCCCGGGCUCACAGCGAUUAUCUUCCCCAGCCAGUGAACUUCCUGGAGGCCCGUCCUGAAGGACUGGGUUUGUCAUGAGAGCCCACACGACAGGAUUUGCAGAGCCGGCCGCCACGGAGCAGAGGCUGGGAUUCCAGGCACUCUUGCCUAGCGGGUCAUCCGUCUGACUUCAGCAGAAACGCACAGCCGAUGACCCAGACCCGCCGCCAGCACCUGCACUUGAAGAAUUCAGAGUCACCCUGAACGGGUCUGAAUUGGCAGGCUUUCACAGAGCCCCACACAUCCUCAAGUAUACAGCUGCCAUGGGUCACAUAAAAUCUCAAGGGUGGAGACCCUGGUUCUCAGUGACUUCAACAAGGCUGGUUGCCCGCUUGGCUCACCACCCUGGCCCUGGAGUCCCAAAUUGGCAUGAAGCUGGUUCUCCAUGAAUAUUUGUUGAAUUAAUGGAUCUGGUGGUGGAAUGACUACCGGAACAUUUGAUAUGCCACCACAUCCUACCACGGCAAAAGUCAUACCUGUCCCCGGGUGGAGUCCAGCAUGGAUUUCUGGCCACCUGUACACCUGGAAUUUCCUGAUCUGCAGUCACUAAAUAUUUUCAGUAAAAGCAAUUAUUAUAUGACAAAAUAAAAGGCUUCCUUUUCAUACUUUUGAAAAACAUGAUGAUAAAACAAAUCAGAAAAAAUG
Molecule: long non-coding RNA, 822 nt
Filed under: Suricata suricatta (meerkat)
Lineage: Eukaryota; Metazoa; Chordata; Mammalia; Carnivora; Herpestidae
Description: lncRNA (ENSSSUG00005007596.1)
Source: RNAcentral